This 488-nucleotide unclassified non-coding RNA is filed under the name Drosophila mojavensis. RNAcentral describes it as "GI15776". Lineage: Eukaryota; Metazoa; Arthropoda; Insecta; Diptera; Drosophilidae. The record is from RNAcentral.
AUAAAUCAAGAAAGCCGAAAAAAGUGCACUAAAAAACACUCGCCAUAAAUAAACUUUUUUUUUUUUUCAAAAUUUAGUGCCGAAAAAAGAAAAAACAAAAACCAAAACCAACACCAACAAAGUGUAAGCUGAGUGUCACUGUGAAGUUUUUUUAAAGCAAAACCAUAUCAACGGUCCGGUGACUAAAGCUCUGUCCUGUCUCCGCCCAACAAAGAUCUAUUACCCGCCACGCCUACACCCACACACUCACACACACACACACACACCGACACACACACGGACACACGCACCCGCCUCGAAGAACUGGAGACGCACACCAACGAACUGGACACAGGACGUUAUACACUACACACACAAGCACACACACAUACAUACACCACACACACACACACAUACACACCACUCACACAACACAAUGUAAACCAAAUGGCUUUGGUUUUUUUCAAUAAAAUUUUUUAUUCAAUUUAUAUUUCUUAGAGAUUUUCCAA